Long non-coding RNA from Oncorhynchus tshawytscha (Chinook salmon), 482 nucleotides. Lineage: Eukaryota; Metazoa; Chordata; Actinopteri; Salmoniformes; Salmonidae. The record is from Ensembl.
CGCUGUUCAUGAUCAUGAUAUAGUGGUGUUACCUCACCCUGAGCUGUUCAUUAUCAUGAUAUAGUGGUGUUACCUCACCCUGCGCUGUUCAUGAUCAUGAUAUAGUGGUGUUACCUCACCCUGCGCUGUUCAUUAUCAUGAUAGUGGUGUUACCUCAACCUGUUCAUUAUCAUGAUAUAGUGGUGUUACCUCACCCUGUUCAUUAUCAUGAUAUAGUGGUGUUACCUCACCCUGUUCAUUAUCAUGAUAUAGUGGUCUGUUCAUUAUCUCCAGUAUCGUGAUAUAGUAGUGUUACCUCACCCUGAGCUGUUCAUUAUCUCCAGUAUCGUGAUAUAGUGGUGUUCUCACCCUGUUCAUUAUCUCCAGUAUCGUGAUAUAGUGGUGUUCUCACCCUGUUCAUUAUCUCCAAUAUCGUGAUAUAGUGGUGUUACCUCACCCUGUUCAUUAUCUCCAGUAUCGUGAUAUAGUAGUGUUAUCUCACC